ACGUGUGAAAGCAGCAGAAUCACUAUCAUUCCCCAGCUUGUUCUUCACUUUCCCCAAAACGUUUGCAAUGAAUCAGUAAAAUGUGGCAUUGGCCAUCAGUGCAGUUCUCACAAACUGAAGCUGUGUGUGAUGAGAUCCGCUUCUUCUUAGACGCUGGAACACACUGUCCCACCAACACUGGAACUGGAUCCCUCUAGAUCCGUUUUACCACAAUGAUGAUUGUAGAGGAGAGUGAGACAAACUUUCGCUUGGCUCCGAAGCGAAAGCUUAAUUCAUAAGCAAAGAAAGACACAUCAUCCCCUCCUGUGAGCAGCAAAGCCGACGAUCACAAUCAAGAGAUAAAUGAUUUUUAAUUUAGUGAGAGUGUGUGUGUGUGUGAGUACUUGUUUAUCUAUCUAACGGGACCACGGUGCCAUUACACAUUUAUACCAACAAAGCCAAGUUUUAUGGGUUAAAUCAAGCAGAAAUAUCUCUUUAAGGUAAUGUCAAGAGAAAUGGAGUGUUCUCUUCCAAACAAUUUGAUAAAGAUUUACAUGAUAAGAAAAGGGAAAAUGUGCUUCAAAAGUGAAUAUAAAAAUUGGGCUCUUAGAGCUCUUGAGUGUGUGUAGAAGAUCUGUUGAAUAUAGAAAGAGUUUACAAGCAAGCAGCAAGCAGAAGCCAGCUCCAGACCACAACCCUCAGAACAUCAAAGAACACACAUGAUUUUUUACAGAAGAACAUAUAUUGAGUAGAGAAGAUGGUAAGCUUUAAAAUAUAAUUGUUUAUUCUGGCCCAUGGAACUUCCAGCUUAGCUGCUAUAGAGUGGUGUAUCUAGCUUUUGCCUUUGCAAGAAAUAAUAAAAUGAGAAUGAGGACUGCCCUCAAACACUGA
This is a long non-coding RNA of Megalobrama amblycephala (Wuchang bream), 870 nucleotides long. RefSeq lists it as uncharacterized. The transcript has 2 exons. The record is from RefSeq and is a predicted model, not a curated record. Lineage: Eukaryota; Metazoa; Chordata; Actinopteri; Cypriniformes; Xenocyprididae.